AUUGAACGCUGGCGGAAUGCUUUACACAUGCAAGUCGAACGGUAGAGGGGGCAACCCCUCGAGAGUGUCGAACGGGUGAGUAAUAUAUCGGAACGUGCCCAGUCGUGGGGGAUAACGUAGCGAAAGUUACGCUAAUACCGCAUACGAUCUAAGGAUGAAAGCGGGGGAUCGCAAGACCUCGCGCGAUUGGAUCGGCCGAUAUCAGUUUAGGUAGUUGGUGUGGUAAUGGCUCACCAAGCCAACGAUCUGUAGCUGGUCUGAGAGGACGACCAGCCACACUGGAACUGAGACACGGUCCAGACUCCUACGGGAGGCAGCAGUGGGGAAUUUUGGACAAUGGACGCAAGUCUGAUCCAGCCAUUCCGCGUGCAGGAUGAAGGCCCUCGGGUUGUAAACUGCUUUUGUACGGAACGAACAGGUCUCUCUUAAUACGGGGGGCUCAUGACGGUACCGUCAGAAUAAGCACCGGCUAACUACGUGCCAGCAGCCGCCGCAG
This 496-nucleotide ribosomal RNA is filed under the name uncultured bacterium. RNAcentral's name for it is "partial 16S ribosomal RNA". It matches the Rfam family "Bacterial small subunit ribosomal RNA", at positions 30 to 523 of the family's 1533-position model. The record is from RNAcentral.